GUUGACUCCAAUGACAGUCUGACAAUGAUGCAAAUCAUCCUUCAAUGGAAAGCACCACAAAAGACCAAUUAAAAAGACAAGUUCCAGAGAUUAAGGGAAAGAGUUUCAAGACAGGAUAGACCACAGGUAGUCCUCCUGUCAAAAAAGCCUGCGCCUCGUGGUCAAGGUCGGUAACCAGCUCUCCCCUACACCACGCUUGGACUCACGCUGCCACCCCCCAGCACCAAGCUGCAUUGUACAUCCAAUACAAUAUGUAUACAGAGAGCA
Homarus americanus (American lobster) is the source of this 267-nucleotide long non-coding RNA. RefSeq lists it as uncharacterized. The record is from RefSeq and is a predicted model, not a curated record. The transcript is spliced from 2 exons. NCBI's taxonomy places the organism in Eukaryota, Metazoa, Arthropoda, Malacostraca, Decapoda, Nephropidae.